GAAACCUGGUACAGCCACUGCAAGAGAAACACCCCCUCUCGAAAAUUUUUCCCAAACUUUUUUCCAAAAGCUAAUAUUGAAAUCGAAAAGCGCUAAAAAAUCACUUUUACCAUUAUUUUGACUGCCAUCGGUUGAGUUAUCAAACAGCACCUUACGACCACACACAAUCCAGCCAGCAACAGUCAUACCGAAAGUUUGAAUCGGACAUUGACUACCAUGCUCAGAAAAACAUCGGAACAAAGAUGCCAGGAUAAUUGAAAAAAUAUUCUUCAAAAAUUAUGCUUCCCAUACCGAACAUCAAUUCACUGUUCAACACUAGAAAUUUCUUUUUUCUCCUUUAUAGUAGAGACAUUAAAUUUCCGAUUAAAAAUAGACGCCAUGCCCACACUUGUGGCCUCCCGAUUUGACUAUGUGGCAUCUCUUUAUGUAACGACUUUGAAUCAGCUUCCAGCAAACUUGUGAAAAAAAAACAACGAGAGAAAUCCAACAAAUGAGCCAUCGUUGACUACGAAGUGGGUAACAGAGUACUACUAGACGUAAAAGUCAUUACGUAUGUUUAAUUCCAAGGACCUUCAGCAUUGGUGUACGAAAAAAAAACUGUGGAUAUCAGUGACAACGCCCUAAUCCCUAAGCGCGUUCUCACAAUAUAUAUAUUCUCAUAUCUAUGUAACAAUACAAUAUCGCUAUUUUAUUUUCAAAAA
Long non-coding RNA from Daphnia magna, 701 nucleotides. RefSeq lists it as uncharacterized. The record is from RefSeq and is a predicted model, not a curated record. The transcript is spliced from 2 exons. NCBI's taxonomy places the organism in Eukaryota, Metazoa, Arthropoda, Branchiopoda, Diplostraca, Daphniidae.